UACGUAGGGUGCAAGCGUUGUCCGGAAUUACUGGGCGUAAAGAGUUCGUAGGCGGUUUGUCGCGUCGUUUGUGAAAACCAGCAGCUCAACUGCUGGCUUGCAGGCGAUACGGGCAGACUUGAGUACUGCAGGGGAGACUGGAAUUCCUGGUGUAGCGGUGAAAUGCGCAGAUAUCAGGAGGAACACCGAUGGCGAAGGCAGAUCUCUGGGCCGUAACUGACGCUGAGGAGCGAAAGCAUGGGGAGCGAACAGG
Molecule: ribosomal RNA, 253 nt
Filed under: uncultured bacterium
Lineage: Bacteria
Description: partial 16S ribosomal RNA
Rfam family: Bacterial small subunit ribosomal RNA
Source: RNAcentral